RNAcentral lists this ribosomal RNA (522 nucleotides) under uncultured bacterium. RNAcentral's name for it is "bacterial SSU rRNA". It matches the Rfam family "Bacterial small subunit ribosomal RNA", at positions 355 to 896 of the family's 1533-position model. The record is from RNAcentral.
UGGGGAAUAUUGCACAAUGGGCGAAAGCCUGAUGCAGCAACGCCGCGUGAACGAUGAAGGUCUUCGGAUCGUAAAGUUCUGUUGCAGGGGAAGAUAAUGACGGUACCCUGUGAGGAAGCCCCGGCUAACUACGUGCCAGCAGCCGCGGUAAUACGUAGGGGGCUAGCGUUAUCCGGAUUUACUGGGCGUAAAGGGUGCGCAGGUGGUCCUUCAAGUCGGUGGUUAAAGGCUACGGCUCAACCGUAGUAAGCCGCCGAAACUGGAGGACUUGAGUGCAGGAGAGGAAAGUGGAAUUCCCAGUGUAGCGGUGAAAUGCGUAGAUAUUGGGAGGAACACCAGUAGCGAAGGCGGCUUUCUGGACUGCAACUGACACUGAGGCACGAAAGCGUGGGUAGCAAACAGGAUUAGAUACCCUGGUAGUCCACGCUGUAAACGAUGAGUACUAGGUGUCGGGGGUUACCCCCCUCGGUGCCGCAGCUAACGCAUUAAGUACUCCGCCUGGGGAGUACGCACGCAAGUGUG